This 187-nucleotide unclassified non-coding RNA is filed under the name Funneliformis sp. RNAcentral describes it as "partial internal transcribed spacer region". The stretch from base 1 to 46 matches the Rfam family "Eukaryotic small subunit ribosomal RNA", at positions 1786 to 1831 of the family's 1831-position model. The record is from RNAcentral. Lineage: Eukaryota; Fungi; Glomeromycota; Glomeromycetes; Glomerales; Glomeraceae.
AAGUCGUAACAAGGUUUCCGUAGGUGAACCUGCGGAAGGAUCAUUAAUGAUUUUUAAAGCGAGUCGAGCGUUUAAGCGAGGCUUGCGAAAAUAUUUAAAACCCCACACUUUUUAACCUUAAAAAAUAAAUCAUGAUACAUGAAUUUAAAAAAAAAGAUCACUUUCAACAACGGAUCUCUUGGCUCUC